UUCUACUCUGUCUCUGCGAAUCAGAUGUCAAAGGUGGUGCCCACAGCAUCUGCCACUUCAUGGCUGGCUUAUUUCAUUUCUACCUUUCUCAAAGUUUGUCUGUACAUGUGCCAAGUAUCAGAAUUUUUUUCCUCUGUCAGGGUGAAGAGUAUCCCUCAUCGCUCACUGGACAUUUGGGUGAAAACCAAACUCCUUAGAUUCCGGCUCAUACGUGGGUGCCAUGUUUUCUCAAGAACACUGGAUGGCACCAGUCAGUUGGUCACAAGAAGAGAAUAAAGGAGACAUCUAGAAACAGCAGCAGACAGCAGGAGAGCUGCACUAAUGGCUACAGUGAGUACUCGAGUGGCUCACACAGAAAAUGAUCACCUUGUUCAGAGACACUUAAGCCUCACCAGCCUCCAGGGUCUACCCUUGUGUGAGGCCAAUGAACUCUGAAGACUGAAAAUGUUUUGUAAAUGACCCCAACAAAGGAUGGACAAUCAUAAAUAAAGAGAGCUCAUGAUGGAAAAUUACCUAC
Molecule: non-coding RNA, 517 nt
Organism: Cricetulus griseus (Chinese hamster)
Lineage: Eukaryota; Metazoa; Chordata; Mammalia; Rodentia; Cricetidae
Source: RefSeq, a predicted model, not a curated record